This 216-nucleotide ribosomal RNA is filed under the name uncultured bacterium. RNAcentral describes it as "partial 16S ribosomal RNA". It matches the Rfam family "Bacterial small subunit ribosomal RNA", at positions 1284 to 1500 of the family's 1533-position model. The record is from RNAcentral.
AGUCUCAGUUCGGAUUGAAGGCUGAAAUUCGCCUUCAUGAAGCCGGAAUUGCUAGUAAUGGCAGGUCAGCAUACUGCCGUGAAUACGUUCCCGGGCCUUGUACACACCGCCCGUCACACCAUGAGAGUCGGGAACACCCGAAGUCCGUAGCCUAACCGCAAGGGGGCGCGGCCGAAGGUGGGUUCGAUAAUUGGGGUGAAGUCGUAACAAGGUACC